RNAcentral lists this ribosomal RNA (242 nucleotides) under uncultured bacterium. Its description in RNAcentral is "partial 16S ribosomal RNA". It matches the Rfam family "Bacterial small subunit ribosomal RNA", at positions 89 to 334 of the family's 1533-position model. The record is from RNAcentral.
GAUUUAGCGGCGGACGGGUGAGUAAUGCCUAGGAAUCUGCCUGGUAGUGGGGGAUAACGUCCGGAAACGGGCGCUAAUACCGCAUACGUCCUACGGGAGAAAGCAGGGGACCUUCGGGCCUUGCGCUAUCAGAUGAGCCUAGGUCGGAUUAGCUAGUUGGUGAGGUAAUGGCUCACCAAGGCGACGAUCCGUAACUGGUCUGAGAGGAUGAUCAGUCACACUGGAACUGAGACACGGUCCAG